AAGGGUGCAAGCGUUACUCGGAAUUACUGGGCGUAAAGGGUGCGUAGGUGGUUUUUUAAGUCCGUUGUGAAAUCCCUGGGCUCAACCUGGGAAUGGCAGUGGAUACUGGAAAGCUAGAGUGCGGGUAGAGGGUAGUGGAAUUCCCGGUGUAGCAGUGAAAUGCGUAGAGAUCGGGAGGAACACCAGUGGCGAAGGCGGCUACCUGGACCAGCACUGACACUGAAGCACGAAAGCGUGGGGAGCAAACAGGAUUAGAUACCCUGGUAGUCCACGCCCUAAACGAUGCGAACUGGACGUUGGGAGCAACUUGGCUCUCAGUGUCGAAGCUAACGCGUUAAGUUCGCCGCCUGGGGAGUACGGUCGCAAGACUGAAACUCAAAGGAAUUGACGGGGGCCCGCACAAGCGGUGGAGUAUGUGGUUUAAUUCGAUGCAACGCGAAGAACCUUACCUGGUCUUGACAUGUCU
RNAcentral lists this ribosomal RNA (466 nucleotides) under uncultured Gammaproteobacteria bacterium. Its description in RNAcentral is "bacterial SSU rRNA". It matches the Rfam family "Bacterial small subunit ribosomal RNA", at positions 528 to 991 of the family's 1533-position model. The record is from RNAcentral. Lineage: Bacteria; Pseudomonadati; Pseudomonadota; Gammaproteobacteria.